Long non-coding RNA from Salvia splendens (bonfire salvia), 605 nucleotides. RefSeq lists it as uncharacterized. The transcript is spliced from 2 exons. The record is from RefSeq and is a predicted model, not a curated record. NCBI's taxonomy places the organism in Eukaryota, Viridiplantae, Streptophyta, Magnoliopsida, Lamiales, Lamiaceae.
CACGACUCUCCUAAACCCUAAAAUUCGCGAAAAUCGAUCUUAAAUUGGAGGUCUGAUUUUGUUCAUCCUCACUUCGAAUUCGGCCAUCUUCGUUCCAUCUCAGGUCGAUUCCUUUCAUAAAUAAGUUGUUUGGGGUGGUCGAAGUACAGAAGAAUCGAAGCCACGCCGGCGACGGGGAUGGGUAGCAACGCGCCACCGCGGUGGAGGCUGCACAAGGCCAGCUGCAGUGAUGGCGACGGAAGAUCGUUGCCAGUUGAGACCACGUGAAUUGAACAGGAUCUAGAAGAGGACGGAGGCUGGACGUGAGCUUCCCCGGCGGCUGCAUCUGAUCGUGAGGGCGGGCGAGAAAGAGAAAUGAAAGAGAGAUGGGAACAGAGUUGUAGGCAGCGGCGUGAGACAGCGGAGUCAGGGACGCCGGCGAUGGCGCUGAACCCGCCGUGAAUUCGGCGGAGACAACAGCGCUGCGCGCGGCUGUGCAGUGUGCAGAGAGAAAUGGGGAAGAGAUGUGGAGAUGUUUAUGUCUUUUGUUUAAGUUGUCAUUUAUUAAGAAAGAAAUUGUGAGUGUAUGUAGCAUUUUGCCAAAUAGGAUUAAGUAAUCACUUUAA